UGGUAAUUAGUUUAAAUUAAAACAAGUGAUUUCGACUCACUAGAUUAUGACUACUCAUAAUUACUAA
Molecule: transfer RNA, 67 nt
Filed under: Sciurus granatensis (red-tailed squirrel)
Lineage: Eukaryota; Metazoa; Chordata; Mammalia; Rodentia; Sciuridae
Description: Syntheosciurus granatensis (red-tailed squirrel) tRNA-Arg
Rfam family: tRNA
About the family: Transfer RNA (tRNA) molecules are approximately 80 nucleotides in length. Their secondary structure includes four short double-helical elements and three loops (D, anti-codon, and T loops). Further hydrogen bonds mediate the characteristic L-shaped molecular structure. tRNAs have two regions of fundamental functional importance: the anti-codon, which is responsible for specific mRNA codon recognition, and the 3' end, to which the tRNAs corresponding amino acid is attached (by aminoacyl-tRNA synthetases). tRNAs cope with the degeneracy of the genetic code in two manners: having more than one tRNA (with a specific anti-codon) for a particular amino acid; and 'wobble' base-pairing, i.e. permitting non-standard base-pairing at the 3rd anti-codon position.
Source: RNAcentral